ACUCCGUGCCAGCAGCCGCGGUAAUACGGAGGAUGCGAGCGUUAUCCGGAAUCAUUGGGUUUAAAGGGUCUGUAGGCGGGCUGGUAAGUCAGAGGUGAAAGCGCUUAGCUCAACUAAGCAACUGCCUUUGAAACUGUUGGUCUUGAAUGGUUGUGAAGUAGUUGGAAUGUGUAGUGUAGCGGUGAAAUGCUUAGAUAUUACACAGAACACCGAUAGCGAAGGCAUAUUACUAACAAUUAAUUGACGGUGAUGGACGAAAGCGUGGGGAGCGAACAGGAUUAGAUACCCUGGUAGUCCACGC
This 301-nucleotide ribosomal RNA is filed under the name uncultured bacterium. Its description in RNAcentral is "bacterial SSU rRNA". It matches the Rfam family "Bacterial small subunit ribosomal RNA", at positions 500 to 800 of the family's 1533-position model. The record is from RNAcentral.